This 36767-nucleotide long non-coding RNA is filed under the name Vitis vinifera (wine grape). Its description in RNAcentral is "long non-coding RNA (VVIN_LNC002591)". Lineage: Eukaryota; Viridiplantae; Streptophyta; Magnoliopsida; Vitales; Vitaceae. The record is from RNAcentral.
ACAUGCUGGGGUAGAAGGGGACGGUAGUAAAUGUAUUAGUGGGAGGCUGAAAAAAUCCAUGUAAGAUUAGCCUACUGUACUUUAGUGGGCUAGAAUUUGCAUCCAGCAACAGGCACUUGAGAGGCCCUCCCUAUGCUGGUUGAACCACAUGUCGUUUGCCAUGUAAGACAACAGUCUUGAUUUAUGUUUUCUCCCUUUGUUUGUCUUUUAUUUGCCCCAUUCCUUGAAAUAAUUGGCAAUAAUUUCUCCCCCCAAUAAUCCAAUUGUUACUUGUGCCAAAAACUACUGCAUUUGCAGACUAUGUUCCCUAUUCAUAAAAGGCAUAAUGGUCUUGUAAUCCAAAAAUAUGCCCAAUGGAUGAAAAUCCGAAAGGUCUUGCCAUUUGCCCGUUCCCACUCUCCUUGAGUUGUAACUUCUGUUCCACGUAAACAGGGUGGUAUUUAGUGUCUCAUUAGGUGAAUGAAGCUUUGUUCCAUUCUUAAUCAAGGAAGAUUAAGGACUUCUCUCUGAUAGCCUUAAAUGGGAUUUAAGGUUUUCCUUUUUGGUGGGAAAUAUUAUUUUGACUCUACUUCUACAUCAACCUUCUCCCCAGUUCAGUGCAACUGGGAACUAAUGGUUGAUUUUGGUUUCUGCAGGUCUUUACAUUUAUAAGUUAUGUCUGUCAACCAUCCAAAAUCCCCUUCUUCCACUUCCAUUCACUUGGUCUUAGUGGUUACAGUUUGAUCAAAACUGAAGGAAAUUACAGGCGACAAAAGAAAGGAAAAAAGAUCCUCUCAAUGUUGCUCUCUUCCUUUUUGCUGCUUUCUUUUGUUGUUGCAAAUUGUUGGCAGUACCAGAACCAAUUAUUUUGGUCCCACCCACCAGACAAAAAAUAUGAACAUUCCUAUAAACUUUUUCUUUCCUAAAUGACAAAACCACCCAUUUUCCCUUUCUUUCUUUCUUUCUUUUUUUCUUUUUUUCUUUUUUUCCUGAAGCAACUGCCUUUCUGCAAGUUGCAUUGGAAAGCACUUUAGCCACUUUAUUCUAAUUUUCAUCCACUCCUUAAGUAAACUAACACCACAUGAUUAGUCUCAUGCCCUACACUUUUGCUCCUGCUUGUUUUCUUCUCUAUUUGUUCAACAAUAUUCUGAUUCUCUGAUUCCAGAUGCUUUCAAUAAACCAUCCAUCAAUAAUUCUUGUAAGUUGUGAAUGAAACUCCGCUACACACCAGUCAGUAAGAAAGAAAAUUCUAAAAAGAUAAAGGAGCUGGUUUUUAUUUCUCUGUUGGGCCCACAUGGAUCCAAGAAUAAUUCUGGGGGCGCUUUUAAUACACAUCACAGAAAGCAAGACAAGUGGACAGAAAGUGCAAGACGUUUUAUAAUUCAUCAUGAUCGGCUAACACACACAAAAAGGCAAGGAAUCUACCAUGACUCCAAAUACUAUGGUCUUGCAAGCCUGCAACUACACUUGCAUCUGACUGGUGAACAAGUAGCUGUGGGGAAAUUUCAAUACCAAGGCCAAUAAUGUGAGCUUGGAUAUCCGUUGAUUUGAAUUGGUAAUGAGAUCCUUUUGCCAUCCACUCUGCUAUCUAUUGGCUGUCCUCUUACCUACAUAAAAAUCACGUACUCAUUCCCCUUGCUCUCUGCUCUCUGACAAACAUCCAUUAUUGACCUGCAAAUGUGGGUGGCUAUGGAGAAUGACGAGAGGUCGCUUUUGUUCAUCUUGGUAGUAGUCUCCUAGAUGGCUUUAGCUAUUCCGGAAAACAUCUCUAUUCAAGAGUUGUGCUGACAAGAUAGGUUCAUGUUUUCCACUAUGCAUAUUGGUUUUUGGAAGCUUAUUGGAUUCAUAAUAAUUCUUGCUGAAGCUUCAAUUAUUAAAAAUAAAUAAAAAGGUCGCAUGGCUGGUACAACCAUUAGCUACCGACAACGGGUGGUACCAAGCACAUUCUUGAAGGUCUUGUGACACCGGGAGCACCACAUUUCCUUAAUAAUACAUUCUAGUUUCCCAAUAAGAAAAAGCAUCUCAUGAAGUUCUGAUAUUUUCUCUCAGUAUAUACAAGAGAGGAAAAAAAAACGGAAAUUAAAAGGGAAAAAGUUCAGCCCUAGUUAAAUAUAUCUGCUUGGUUUGUUUUCCUGAUUCUCUCCUCUUUUCUCAACUACUUUCUCUUGUGUUCUUGAGUGAUUGAUCGUAGUGGGUUGAUGGUGCAAAAACAUCAUGUGGCAUGGUAAAAGUCAGCCAAACUCCAGGUUGAACGACUAAGAAACCCGCCUUUCUGCUUUAUGUUUUGUUUCUGAGCGUUGAUUCACUCGUGGCUCUAAUGAAAUUCUGAAGAAAAAUACAAUCUACCACUCCUGCGAGUAGGGUUGGCAGUCAUCACAUCAUUAUGGAUGCCCAUUCCUCAUCGACUUAUUUGAACAAGUCCUACCUUUUCUUGGGCUGAGCUGAACUAGGCCCACAUCCAACUUUUAGGGGUGCCUCCAACACUACAACUCGCUUCACCUGUCCAAGUAGGUUAAUAUUGAUAGUGUUCUAAAAAUCCAGAUUCUUUUAGGUCAAAGGAUUAUAUCUUAUCUGUCCCUAAGAUUAUCCUGUAUCAUAAACUGACAUCAACCUGAAGGACAGUCAAGGCAAGAUGGAGGCUAAGUUAAUGGUUAACAGUUCGAUCUUCUGUUUGGCCAAGGUGAAUCGCACAGGGAAACGUCAGGUUUUUCAUUUUUGUACUACUUCAAAACAAAUGCUUUUCCAAAUAAUAUUGUACAUAAAUGUUUCCCAUCACAAAGUAUUACACAAAGAUAGCCAAAUAUGUCAAAAGGAGAAACAGCAAAAAUAUUCUACAUCAGAUAUUAAUUUCACCAUUGACUGCCUUUGGGCAAGGAAGUUGCCAGUAGUCCAAGAAGUUGCAUAGUUUUUGUGGGGUUCGGCCUGCCUAUAUUUUGAUUCACGGAUCUUUAGGCCGGGCCUAGGCUGUAACUUUCAUAGCCCAGCUUUUGGCGUUUAGAUAUUUAUAGAUAGGCCGGUGCUAUAAUUUGUGGCCCACUUCAAUACCCACCACCCUAUUGCAUGUAUCAGGUCAUUGGGCUUUCCCAUUUUAAGAACCAAUGCCCUAUCCGGCUAUCCCCCAACAUCUGAUAACCGAUAUAUCAAUAAUAAUUGAGGUUUAACGACUUAAUUUGCACAUAACAAUAACAAAAGAACAGAAGAGGGGUGAUGUUGACUUGUAUCUUCUUUUCACUAAUUUUGCUAUAUAAUUUAUUUCUGUUGCCACCCUUCCCGAGGCCCCAUUGUUGAGGACUUUUCUGGGACAGUAGGAAAGCUUUUGAUGUUUUUCUUGGGCAGUUAGCAUCUCUCUCCGAUUCCAUACGUACCUUUUACUGUGUCCCAAUCAACGUCUAAAUAAUUUAAAGGUGGCCUUUUUCUCAAACAAUUCCUGUACAAUGAGGAUAUGGUUGAGCUUAAAAAAAAAGGGCAUUGCGACACUGAUCCAUCUUCAGCUUAAAUGAGAUACUGACAUGACGAUAGCAAAUUGUUAAUUGUUAUUGUUAUGCCACGCUUCUUGGGAAAAUGAAAUGAAAAAGAACGGGCGAUAAGGCCGUAAGGGUGGACAAUGUUUUACAUAAUAUAAUGCAACAAUCAUAGAUGAAUCUAGCAGCAAUUUUGGUAAUAGAAAUUAAGUUAUUUUUUUCAUUCCACUUCACCCAUCAAUAUAAUACUAAGAAACAUAAGAUGUUUUAAUUAUAGAAGAGUUACAUCAUGAAAGCUUAGAGUAAUUAAUCCUAGACUUUGGAUAAUCAAUUGAAAGAGUCAUUGGGGCCUUUUUUUUUUUCUCCUAUGACCUCUGAGUCAUUUUAUAAUAGUAUGACUAGUCGAAUGAGGAUUAAUACAUGUAUUAUAUAUCGUUAUCAAUAAGUACUUGGGUAAGGAUAGGGGAGUUUUUUUUAGCAUGUGAUGCAUAAUAUCUCUAGAUGCAUGUAUGUUCCGAAUGACAAACAUCAUUUUCGACGAUUUUUUUUUUUUUGAAGAAAAAAAAAUCCAUUAACUAUGUAAUGCCAAUCAGUAAUGACAGAGCUCAAACCCUUUUCUGCUUGUUAACUUGCAUUUCCACAGAGCAGGAGCAUUGGAUCCUCUCGUAGUUGUGAAACAUAAAAACAUCCAUGUAGGCUCUAUGUUUCUCCUGAAGAGAGAAGAGACAGAGGAAGGUGGAAGAAAAAAAAACAAAAAGCAAAGAAACAAACCCGCUCUUCAGGGAUCUAAUUUGUUAUUGACUGGUGGCAAAUUAAGUUCAGAAAAUUUAGUAAGUAAAUCUUAUUUUGCUAAGGUUCAUCCGGAACUGGAUUUAACUAGCAAAGUUGUUGUGUGGACAGGUUCAGCAGUCAGAGGACCCAGGAGCGCACUGAAUUUGACCAGAGUGAAUAAAUUGUCUGACAUUUGGACUUAAUUUAACGUAUACAAUAUCUAAAAUGGAUUUAAAUUUAAUGCGGAAAGAGAGUUGGGGAUAAGAGCCUAUCCAAAUGAAGUGGCACAGCGGAACAAGUUGUCCCGAGCCAACUAAAUCAGAAAGCGGACACGAUUGAACAUGGAUGGGGAGUUAUAGUGUUAAUUACCCCUUGUCUCGUCCACACCCGAGGGACAAAACCCUAAGACCCACAUCUUGAACGGUUGAACCCACCAAUAAUGGCCAAGAAAAUUGGGACAAACGGCCAGAGUCUCAUUGAAGGGGAGGAUGGGGCAGGGAAUUGAAAUUGUUUGUUUCUUUGUAUAAGGUAGUAGGAACCUCAAAACCCUGAUAGCCAUGCUGCUGUCCCUGCCUGAUUUUUAAGGUCUCUUUUUGCCAAGAAUCGGUGGCGCAUACAUGGUUGGAGACGUGGCCAGCUUCAAAACCAGAUGGGAAUUCUACAGGGUUGCCCCAGCUUGUCUGCCACCCAACCGCUAGAGAAACUCAAUCCACCUAAUGUGUGUAGUUCACGUGAUUGGUGCUUGGUUUGGGGUGCAUGGCCAUCACAAAGGAUAUUUUUUUGCCCCAGUUGCCUCACUGCAUCUCCAUUCAAAUUUCAAGUCAUUGAACCCGCCAAACAUAUGUGUGCACACAAGGGGGCGUUGUGUUGCUGUCAACCUUUCACUCGCUUCCAAAUGGCAACUUGUUGAGUUGUUUGCCUACUUUCAAUUAACUUCCCCCAAGUCAUUGAACCUACCUUCACAAUUAUAAUUAAGAGAGAGAGAGAAUGGGAGCAUGACCAACGACACUCUCCAAAUCUAGUGCAUGCCUACCAUCCCUAUCCCCUCUCUUCCCUCUUCAACUUGAUUUCUUCUACCUUUAUUUUCCUACUGCGCCAAUCAUCAUCAUCAUCAUCCCAUCCAAAUACUCCUCCUCACUACUAUCUGUACAUUUUUUUUUUUCCAAACUUGGAUCGUCAACAAUUCCGGUUUUCCUAGUACAUGAUAAUAUUGGAAUCAUCAAUUGCCACGAGACGGCGAGCAUGGUUUCACCUAAUUCCCACUUCUGCACAUGCAUUUCGUUAUAAUAUAUUUAUUUAAUUGGGUUCUCCCAAUUUUAACUUACAUCCCCCACUCACAAAAGCCCAGAGACAGAGUCAUGACCGCCCAUGAGUUGUUUAAUUUUUUCUCCUCGUUGUAUAUACCCAUUUUAAAUGCGUAGAUAAGUUAACUAUGGUACGCAUCUCUAUAAUUCUAUAUAUAAAAUUAUGUUCUUUUGGCAUGGUAGGUCCUCUUGGCUUCUCUUUCCAAAUUUGAUUAUAUUACUACAUUCUUCUUUCUAGAACGCCUCGCUGGUAUUAAAGCACAAUUUCCAAUCUAUUGAUCUAAUCAUCAUGUGGAAUAUUGGAUAAAGUGAUGUAUUAGAGUAAUAGAGGGCAGGACUACAAUUGAAUUCGUCUACAUGGCUCAUGUGGCAUCAUUCCUUAGGUAUCCCUCUCGUUGGGCUGGCAGUUAGGUAUUAAACCAACGGACAUACGAAUUAUUCCCCCAAAAAUAAUAACGAACCUACGAGGCGACAAAUCAAUUAAUGCACCCAACAAACAUAAACUUUUAACAAGAAAAGGUCCCCCCCCACCCCCCGUUCUGCCAUCAAACGUUAAUCAUUUUCAAGCCUUGGGAAUAUAGUUGCAUACAUGCAUCACGAACAUUGAUCAUUAAUAUUAAUACAAUCAUUAAGGUUGUGAUUAGCCCAGCCUCAAAGCCCCACACAAGGAUUAGAGGCGGGAAGUUAGCGCCACGUCACGAGCCACGCCAAAACAUAAAAACAUUUUAUUGUGAAUGGCAAUUGAAUUUCUUUUGCUGACAUUGUCGUCUGUCUCCCCUUCCCCAGGCCAACGUGAAGAGGAUGGAUAAUGGAAGAUCUCCAUAUCUCCCUCGCUUUCACUCCCAUAUAUUGUCUAUCCAAUUUGAUGAGAGGCCAUGAAACCAUUGUGUUUGGACAAUCUCCUUUUUCUCUUUAGUCAAUUUUAUUACUUGUUUUUUCAAUUAAGGGACCUGAUUACCGAAUUGUUGGCCCACACUCAAAUGGGUCCCAAAUGUAGGAGUUGCAGUUAAAAACUUAUAUCCAUUAUCCACCUUUGAAAAUUCAGCUACAAGGACUUGUCUCUUAUCCUUUUACCCUUUUCUCCUUAAUGAAAAAUCAACAGAAUUUUUUUAAAAAAUAGUGCUAAUCAGUCAUACUCUUCAUACAUCAACUUGGAUUAGUGCCUAAUAAGAACAAAGUUAUGAUUAAUUUACUCAUAGUAUACAGCCCUUCCAAAAACUAACAUGCAUGCUGCUAUUUAAUUCAAGACACUUUCACCCACUUAAGAAAAUGCCCGAGACUGAAAGGCUUUCCUCAAGCAACAACAUUUUAUACCAUAAUUUUCUAGCUAGGAUAUUGAAAGUUUUUCAAAUCAAAUAGGAACCCAGAUGGCUUUAUGAAACUAGCUAAGCCAGAGCAGAAGCUAUACUUGUUCUAAGCUUAUGUAAUCAUUAUAUAAACACGCUCGAUUGCUCAUCCAUGUAUUAGUCUAAGACUAAGGUACUAUAAAAAAUCUAAAUCGAAUUAAGAGGAAAAAAAAAACAACAAAAGAAUUAAAAACUCGAAAUAUAGAAAAGGGUAAUGGAAGUUAGGCUUGGAAGCUCCAAAAUACAUUAGGUGAGCUCAGAAGAAGGGAAGAAUGGGAUGUAUAGUGAGUAGAUAGGGUGGUGGACAAAAAAUACAUUAAAUAAUAAUCGGGGGUGAGUGAAAUGAAUGGUGAGGGCGAGGUGAUGUGUCAAAAACGGUGGUCAACGGGUAAGCAUUCCUGAGAUGCAUGAACUUGGACACAGUUUUGACACGAGUCCAAAAAGCAGGCCUCUUCAGUCUUUGUUUUUAGUCUGGUUCUGAUUUUUCCAUACGGCCUCUAACCCCAUACGAGCGUCUUGGUUGGACUGCUUUUAACAAUUGGAAUUCAAGCAUAUAUCAGAUUUCAGAAAAUGACUUGCUUAAUUCUCACCCAAUUGAAUCCCAACAGCUAAGUAAAUAGAGAGAAAAGAAAAGAAAAAAAAAAGGAAAAAGAUCUAACUCGUGUUAUGCCAGAACUGGCCUCUUAACUAUAGCGUGUUCUUUGGUAUUAUGAUGUUUCAAAGCAAUUUUGUUUCUUCUACAAAAGUAUGUAUUGAAUAAUAUUUUUCCAUCGGGAUGAUUUCCCCUUGAGUGGUUGAAUGAUUGCUAUUUUGAUACAUUCUUGACCUACGCACUACAGCGACUGAUGGGGACUUUUUUUUAGUUAAUAUAGGAAAGUGGAUGUAUUUUCGGUUUAGUGUGCAUUUGCUUUUCACUGUCUCAAAGCAUUUUAAAAAAUAUUUCGUCACAAUUAGAGUAUUUUAUAGCAAGGGGUGUUUUGAAGGGCAAAUUGUUUUAUAUACUGUGCAAAAGCAUGUUUUCUGUAUAGAUAUUGAUUUAAAAGACCAGGAACACUGUAAAGUCACACGCACGAGACUUCAGUAACGCCAGCGAUAGUAUCAGAAGGCUUAACAAUGUUAAUUAACUGGUAGCCUAAGACCUCGGAAUAAAUAAUAAAAGUGUAUGCAUUGGAAUUGGUGAAAGAAGAAGAUAUCAGCUGUUCCCAAAAUCUCAGUCAAGACAUUGGCUUGUAUACACGUGAAAGAUCGGUUUUGUUGAGCCCAUCAUUGGAACACUUUUUUGUCACGAGCAAAGCAGGGAGAAGUAGAACUGUUGAAAAUUCACAUUUUCAUGUACUGCUUCCAACUUGUGCCUCGUGCGCCACAUGCUUCCUAGGAGUCCUCGCGGAUCAAACAAGUACAGUAAGUCACGCGGUCACUGCUUUUCCCUUUCCUAAAUUAUUAGUGAAGGAAUCCGUUCUUGAUCAGAGGGAUCAAGCCAUCCGCAUACUACUAAUAAUAUAUCAUGAGUAGGAAGACUAGAGAUACUCGAUUUUGUCCUGUGUUGAUUGUUGGGGGGAUAGAUCACCUUAUAAGCGGUGACAUGUACCAAACGAACCCACGUACCAUCCAUGUAAUACUGACUAAAUCUUAAUCAUCAAUUGGAACUCUCAUAUUUUGAACGUCCCUUUGGUCAGGUGUGGUCUAAAGAAGAAAACAAAAUCAAUCUGUGGGUGGGUAAAUUAUCAUUGUAUAUGCAUGGUCGAGGGACAAGGUCAUGAAAGAAUCAUCAUUGAAAAAUCUUGCUCCUACGAUUAUUGAAAGAAAAAUGAUUAGAUGAUGGGUGAAUUUUAGAGGGUAUAUAAAUGUGGAAUUAUAGGAUAAGGAAGAUUCCUCUUUCAAUUUUUGCUUUUCCAACACCCAAAAAAAAGAAGAAGAAGAAGAGAGAGAGGUGUCGCAAUUGAAAUCCAUGGGUGCAAUGCCAAUGAUAAUCACGUUGUAUCCACGCGGAUUCAACUGUAGAGUGUGAAUAAAUUGCCACAUUUUUUACACGUUGAAAAUGAUUCAGUGGGUCAAAGGAAUGGGGCGGAAGGCGCAGCCGUCGAAAAUGCUAAAAUGUCAGCAUUGAAAAGGUUAAAACCGAAGACAUGGAUUUUCUCGAGAAAAUGUAGAGCUUUAGAGGAGCAAUUUUUUUUGAGUGGGCUCUUUUAAAAGCUUCACGAAAAUGGAUAUGUUAUAGAAAUUAGAAAGGGUAGUAGGUGGCACAAUUAUUUUAUUGUUGGAUCAAUUAUGCCACAUUAUGAAUGAUGCUGAGAAAUGAUUAUAUGGCUAAAGUCUCGGGACAAAAUCACUGCUCCAUUGUCAGCAUUUGCACGAGUUUUCCUAUAUUCUUAUAAUUGGGACAUGCUUUUCUUAUCUUUACACAUUGCCUUAGUGCCCUAAACCCUGUCCCAUAUCACCUACAACUUUACUCCCUCUCUACUUAUCUCAUUUUUAAAAUGAUUUUUGAAUCAUUUCUAUAUGGGUGUGUUUACGGAUACUUCAAGGGUGUGUGAUCCACUAAGAUUUUUAAUAUUAUUAAAUAUUAUUGUGGCACAACUAUUCCUUGUGCUUUCGGAUGAGUUAUGAACUGAAAAACUUUGGAAGUUUUUGCCUUUUUGGUAUUAAUUUAUUCUAAACAUCUCUACUGCAUAUUAAUGGGGAUAUCAAGCCAUGGAGAAAAUGGUAUGUAUUGACGGGUGGUCAAGAAUGAAAACUCCUUGUAUUAACGUUCAUUUCCUUUUUAAUCUAAUUUUUCUCCAUAUGCAACAACUUGAAAUCUUUUUUUUAAGCUAUGUAAUUAAAAGUAUUUUUGAUAAUGAUUUUUUAAAAAUAUUUAUAGUUUUUUUAAUACUGAAAAUAAUUUUUUUUUUACUUAUAAUUGUUUUAAAAGAUAGUUAUAUAAAAAUAUGAAAAAUGAUUAAAAUUGCUAGUAAAUAUAAAACUUAUUUUUAAAAAUAUUUUAAUUUUUUUUUUACUAAUUUCAGUUUUAUAAAAUAUGCCUGAAUAGUUUUUUAAAAUUUGUAUUUUUUAGAACUGUUUUUAAAAAGACUCACAGAACGGAAUGAGAAUCCCUAAUAUCAGAUCUAGGCACAUGGGUUGCGAAAUCAAAGGAAGGGAAUCGAGUUGGGACUUGAGUGGUCCGAACUCCGAAGAUUAUGAAUUUCAUGGUUUUCUCUAGGCUUUUUGUACCCAACAGAAACACUGGUCACCGGGGGACUUGUCCUGCACAGUACUCCAGAGUUGACCAGUUAAAUUUAUAAACUAUAAAGAGAACUUGAUGUAAUAAUCGUAUUUGUGUGAACUCCACGUGUCGUUGUGUCGUCAGCCUCUACAGCCUCUCUUUUUUAAAAAUUAAAAAAAUUAAAAUUAAAAAUUUCCCAUAGAUUAAGUGAUUAACCCCUCUCUCUCACUGUUGUACUUGUGUCUAUGGUUGAUGGACAGACAAUAAAGUAAUGGAAACAGAACCACGAAACUACGACUUAAGUGCAUGAAUCCAACACCACACCCUCCCCUAUAUAAACCCCCUCCCUCCCUCUCUGGUCUCUCACUCCCACGGAGUACAACUCAUUCCUGUAUUAUAAUUCACUUCCUUCCUUCCUUCCUUCCUUCCUCCCUCCCUCCAGAGGAAAGAGAAAGAAAGAAAGAAAGAAAGAAAAAUGCCUUCUUCUUCUGUUACUCUGGUGUCUAAAUGCACGGUUUAUCCGGAACACAAGUCCACAAUCAAGAGCCUGAAGCUCUCAGUUUCUGAUCUUCCCAUGCUAUCAUGCCAAUACAUCCAGAAGGGUGUGUUGCAUACUCGCCCUCCUCUUCCCAUUGACUCCCUCAUCUCUCUCCUCAAACAAUCUCUCUCCACCGCUCUCACUCAUUUCCCACCCCUCGCUGGUCGUUUCGAAACAGAUGCCGACGGCCACGUCCACAUCAUCUGUAACGACGCUGGCGUCGAAUUCAUUCAUGCCAAAGCUAAGCACUUCCUUAUUCGUGACCUCCUCUCCCCCGUCGACGUCCACAAUUGCUUCAAACAGUUCUUCGCCUUCGAUGGCCUUCUCAGUUAUGCCGGCCACUUCAAGCCUUUGGCCGCUGUUCAGAUCACGGAACUCGCAGACGGACUUUUCAUCGGUUGCACCGUCAACCACUCCGUCACCGACGGCACCUCCUUCUGGCACUUCUUCAAUACCUUCGCUGAGAUGACUAAAGGAGCAAAGAAGAUCAGCAGGUCACCAGAUUUUAACCGGGACAACGUGUUCAAUUCGCCGGUGGUGCUCAGAGUCCCAGAGGGCGGCCCAAGGCUAACGUUUUCUGGAGACGAGCCGUUGCGUGAGAGAAUCUUUCGGUUCCAUAGAGAAGCGAUUUUAAAGCUUAAAUACAGAGCCAACAACCAGAUACAAAAAUCCACAAAUGGACAAGUUUUGGAUAUGGGCGAAAUAUUGGGAAAGAGGUCUAACGAUAGUUGGAAGACCAUUAACGGAGAAAAUGGUAUGGACAACGGCAAGAAAACGUCUGUGCUGGGGAAGCUGUUGAAGAACAAUGUGUCGAAACCUCUCGAUUCCGAAACCGGAAUUCCCAAUUCAACUGCAGAGAUUUCAUCGUUCCAGUCACUCUCUGCUCAACUGUGGCGUUCAGUGACACGUGCUAGAAAACUGCCCUCGUCCAGGACCACGACGUUCCGAAUGGCAGUUAAUUGUCGUCACCGGCUGGAGCCGAAAUUGGAGGCACACUACUUCGGGAACGCGAUCCAGAGCAUCCCAACGGUAGCAUCGGUGGGGGAACUUCUGUCUCGAGAUCUGCGGUGGUGUGCGGAUCUGCUGCAUAAGAACGUAGUGGCACACGAUGAUGCUACGGUGCAGCGGGGAGUAAGGGACUGGGAGAGCAACCCUCGUUGCUUUCCACUGGGGAACUUCGACGGAGCAAUGAUCACAAUGGGGAGCUCUCCCAGAUUCCCCAUGUACGACAACGAUUUCGGGUGGGGAAGACCCCUGGCUGUUAGGAGCGGCAAGGCCAACAAAUUUGACGGGAAGAUAUCGGCCUUUCCAGGGAGAGAUGGGGCGGGAACGGUUGAUCUGGAGGUGUGUUUGGCACCGGAAACAAUGGCGGGUCUUGAGUCGGACCCUGAGUUCAUGCAAUACGUAUCGGGAAUGGUGUGAUGGAUUUGGAUGAAUGGAUGGAACUUGGAACUUGGAACUAUGAACUUGGCACUUGAAACAUGAAAGUAGGGAGUGGGGGAGGCCAAAAGUUGUCAGGCAAUGGUCAAACCUCUCGUGAUUGGCUGCGGUCCGAUGGCUUUGGACGGGUGUGAUUUCACUUUCUAUACAAAGGAUAAGUAAUGUUGCAGCUUAUAGUUUUGUCUAAUUUGCCGUGUACUAAGUACUGGGUGUUGUACCAUUGGCAGUGCAGUUUGUUUCUAUUUCCCACGUGCUCAAACGGUCAAACACACUUUUCCUCUCUAAUUUCCCUCUCCUUUCUUCUUUUUAAUUUUUUUUUUUUUGUUUUUGGCGGGGGCCCUGGAGGGUAGGAGUUCUAUAUCCCAUCAAUGUCAAUGUCUGCCUUUUGGCGUAAAAACCCUGUGAUCGCAACUCGUUUAAUCCAUCCGAGUUAUCGGUUUUCACUUUCAUACCUACCUACCUUUAAUUUGGAUUUAAAAAAUUGAAGCAAUUUGCCAUCAGACCAAUCUCCAUUGCCUUUGUAUGUAAGUGUAUAGUCAGCCAAUCCAGGACCAUACUUCAAAAGCCAUUUAAUUUACUAAUUUGCCAACAUUGCAUAAUUAAGAUGCAAUUUCAACCUUACAAUUAGAAAAGUAAAACACAUCAAUAAUUGAUUAGGUGCCACCCCCUAUUCCGUGGUGGUCAGUCCUCCCUCCUCGGUAUGCAUGUAGGCCAGGCCGUAGGUCAGUGCGAUAGCCAUGGCCAACACCUAAGCACUCUAAAUAUAGGCUCUUCCAGAUUUGCCAAAAGAAAAACCCUGUGCCAAGUCUUUUCUACAUUUGAUUUUGGUAUGAAAACGAAACGCCACCAGGCAGGCUGCUGCUCAUAUCACCUUCUCUCUAGGUACUCUCAAGUCCCACAUGCUCUGUAUAAUUCAAAUUCUUCAACGACAUUGUAGGCAAGGUAGGGUUAGGCUGUUAGCGACUAGGCAGCACUGUUGGUGGCCACCAUAAUAGUAUCAUCUAGUAUACUCUAUACUCUUUAUCCAAAUCUACAAAUUUCAUCACACAAUUGGCAACACCAAUCACAAUUAUUUAUGAAUCAUAGUCAAUACACAUACAAAAAAUGAACAUAUCAAUACAAAACAAUGAUCACACUUGCGUAACAGGAGGCCUUCUUUGAAGCCCCAAACAGGCUUUGCAAGUAUAUACAUUAACAUUACCUGUAGUUAAUUUCUGGUGUUCGGAAGAAAAGUCUUGUCAGCCAUUGUAGAGGUCGUAGCAGCUGGGCUCUCUUUUUCCGCCAGAACCAGAUUGCUGCAUUGUAUUGUUCAUUGCGUAUCUUCCUAGUCGCAGCCCUCCAAUCAUACUUCUCCAUUUCUUCACGUGCAGCUUUCCCAAUGGUUUCUCUCAAUUCAUGGCUGUGCAACAGAGGCUCUAGUUUGCUUAAGCAGUCCUCAAUAUCUCCAGGAUUAUAGAGAAAACCAGUCUUUCCCUCAUCAUCCCUAGGAAUGAUAUCUGGGAUUCCCCCAGCACGAGCUCCCACCACAGGGACCCCUGAUGACAUGGCUUCUAAAACAACCAGACCCAGUGUCUCAGAUUCUGAGGGCAUCACAAAAACAUCCCCGCUGGCGUAUGCCUGAGAGAGCUCCUCACCUUGCAACAUCCCUGUGAACACAGCAGGCAUGCCAGAGAACAUUUUCUCCAGCUCCUCCCUGCCCAGAAAGAAGGCAUGUUUUGUAAAUAAAAACUGCAGGUUUCUUGACCGUACUAUGAAGCUCAUGGUAGAUUUUCAUAAGAGGAAUAACUCGAUGAGAAUUAUACCAAGGUUGUCUCAGAGAUUGGCCUCUUUAACUAAUUUUAGAAAAUAAGUACCUCAUUAAAUGUCAAAAGAACAUACCUAUAAGGGCCAUCUCCAAUGAAAGCUAUCCGUGCUUCUGGAAGUCUAUCCAUCACCCUGUUCAAUUAUGUCUUCCACAUGUCAAAAAUUGCAAUAUACAGAAACAAUUCACACAAGCAUGAUUUUUGCACAUUGCAAAAAAUGCAAAAUAGUUGAAUUAUGAUGAAAAUUUUAUCAUAAUUAGAAAUAAUAAAGAAAAAGAAGGCUAAUGAAUGACACACUUAGACCAGGAAAUCGUUACAAUUUCAGACCAACUUCCAUUGUUGGUGACAAAGAUAGCACAUAAAAUCAAGGACUGGAACUCCAUCAAUUGCUGAAAAAAAUUACUUCCUCGAGAGCUUACUCAGUUUAGUCCAUCUAGUCCAACUAAACUUUCAAAGACCUUGAAAGGCUACAUAGAAUUAAGUUAUUGAAAGAACUGUAUGCACUACAAAGCCAAUGAAAUUAUAUUUCAUACAUUUCAUAGGUGUAAAUCAUGCAUGUCAUAAUUGGUAAUAUGUGUCCUUAAAUUGUAAUGUAUUGAAAUCAUGUUAAUAACAGAUAUUAUUAACAAAGUCUAAUUUUCUUAUAAUAUUAAAAAUAUGUUCACAAAUUAUAACUGUGUCUUGGAAAACAUGCUUGCUAAAAGUUGCCAUGUGUAGCGAUAAUAAAGCAGGGAUUCUUAGUAGACUUCAUGGGUGAUUUUUAGAAGAUAAUUAGUGAACUAAGUAACUAACAACUAUAGAACUUAUCGUCAUGUAAGAAUUGUUUUGAUUAAUAAAAGCCUUGACUUGAGGAUAUCACUAGGUUGUGUUGAUUUAUUAUAGCUUUGAUAUUGCAACCUGUUAAUGCUAAUAGCAGACCAUCUAUGAACUUAUUGGGUUUUAUAACUAGUAGAUAUUCAAUAAAAAAUCCAUUACUCCUAUAGUAGGAGAGAAUAUUCAAAAUUGUGUUACGUGUAUUUUUUGAAUGAAAUUCCCUCUGGUUAAUUUAGAAAUCAUAUCUGUGUGUGUGUGUGUGUGCGCGUGUGUAUGUAAAUAUAUAGAAUGUUUUGCAAAGUAUGUAUAUGUAUUUGUAUAUGUAUGUAUGUAUUGAAAAAGGUUCAAAUAUAAGCGGUGACACAUAUAAGUUUGGGUAAUGACAAUUAUCCUGAUACAAUCCAAAAAACUUGCAAGGAUUAUUAGUUAAUCAAAGGACUAAUAUAUAAAUAGAAAACUCACUUUUAUCUCUUAUUCUUUAGGUGAGAUUGUAAUUUGCUUUUAAACAUAAUUACAAUUGACAAGUUUAAGUGGAAUGAACUUAUUAGAGAUGCAGAGAUCCCACAAAGGUCCCAUGCCAUAUUUUCUCAUCUUAGCUUAUCAUGUAAAAAGAGAGAAAUUUGUUUUGUAAUAUAAAAAACUGCAAGGUUACAAAAGAUGUAAAGUAACAGAAAAUAGAAUGUGAUUACUCAGCAUUUUUGUAACCAAAACUCACAUUUUUGUAACUCAUCAUUAUGGGAAAAAAAAGAUGAAAACCAUGUAGCCACAACUUACCUUUCUGUAACAAGUUAUUUUAAAAUGGGCCUACAGAGAGAUGAAACCAUGGUUUUGUCAUCAGAUUAGAAGAUAUUUGUUUUGAGUUUCUCUACUUCUUUUGUUUCUCUCACACAAAAUUCUGAGCUAAUUUAACAAAAAGCAAGAUGGGUAUGCUUGUGAACUUUUGGAGGUUUUUCCACUUGGCAAAAGCUGACUGAGGUAGUAGAAAUGUUUUAUUUAAAUUUAUGUAUGUACAUCUGGCAAAAUUCUGAGAUAAUUUAACAAAAGCAAGAUGGGUAUCCAUGUGAACUUUUGGAGGGUUUUCCACUUGGUGAAAGUAUGUGAGGACCACUGGGAGAAACACCUUUCUAGUAAUGGACUGUUUUGAUUUUAUCAGCUACCACAUUAGUUAAUUUGCCUAAAGAGAAUAAUAAAAUAAUAUGGGGGGAAAACAAUACAUUCAUUUCCAACAUGUGUAAGAAAAUAAUCUAUACAAUAAAGUAGAUGAAUAUUACCUUUUCAGGAAAUCCAAGCUCUUCUCUACCCCAAGUCUUCCAACAUGGAUUACCAAUGGUUUCUCAGGUUCACCAUUGCUGUUUAGAAAAAAAAAAAAGAAAAAAAAAAAAGGUACAUAGCAUGUAAAGUAGAAUCCCAAGGCAAUGAAAGUUAGAGGGGAUGAGAAAAGGGACCCACCUUAGUCUUAAACGCAUUUCGUGAGAAUAGUAACGAGGAUGGAAACUUUCAGAGUCAACCCCCUUAUUCCAAAGACGAAUUCUGUUAGCUGCAAAGCAAAGAGAUAAAGCAAUUUAGUUUUCAAUAUUGAUCCAUUGACAUCAUUACAAUUUGUUUUUGCAACAGUUGCACAAUGGACAUCCAUGCACAAAGAAAAAUAAAUCCAAAAAACUGCAGGAAGUGAGUUUAUUGCACAUGGUUAGAUUUUAAAGUUUGAUAUCAGUGAAAGAGGUUGGUUAUGGAGAGUGAUAUUUAACUGGGUACAAGAUUAAAAGAUGACCUGCUGUUACCCUAGCAGCUUGGAGAUCCCUUGCAAUGGCUGCUGAUGGCACCAGAGUGAGAUCAGCUGCUCUGUGAAGAAAUUCUAACAAGGAAAACCAAACUAACAAUUAUUAGCUCACCUAUCUGAAAAUUUUAAGCUUCCAUGUUUAAAUUAAGAGGCCAGAAAGAAAAUUUGCAUACUUAUGAUCAACCACAUGGGUUUCACCAACCAACUAAAGGUGUAUCUUGGGAUAUAUCUGCAGAACAAAGCAAGAAUAAGAUUCUGUUCAAGCACUAGUUGGUAUACCUUGUAAUUCUAGCAUCAAAUUGAAAAAUGGUAAACAUUUACAAGUUGAAAAUCAGCAACAAAUAAACAUGUGGAUUCUCCACUCAAUUAAUAUGGGUGCAGAUUAAAGCAUAUAAAUGCUAAGAAUUAUCUCAGGAAGAUGAAAGCAGAAGUAAACUCACACUGGAACAUGGGUGUGAUAAGACAUCACUAUAGGAACACACAAUAGUUUUGCAAUAAAGAGAGCACCAAAGACCUACAAUAAAGUCAGCAAUUGUCAAUCCAUACAUCACAUGCCAAUGAUUAGUUCUUCCUUUGAUUUCCCAAAACAAAAACAAAAUUAUGUUAAAUGAGAAUUGUUAGACAAUCAAUUUUCCUAAAAGUUUAAGCUUGUAGGAUUUGGACCCACAAUGUAAUUCAUUUACUCCAACACCCUCCCACGCCUUUGACCCCAUACCCACAAUAGAGAGACACAUAGGCAUACGCAGGCCCACAGAUAAACAAUCCAUAAAUAACCUCCUUUGGGAUUACGUGUGGGCUUAAUAAACAUGCAGCGGGGUUCGAACAAUGACUUUCUGCAAAACAGGGCUCUAAUACCAUGUUAGACAACCAAUUUUCUUAAAACCUUAGCUUAUAGGAUUUGGGCCCACAAUGUAAAUCAUGUACUCCAAUACCCUCCUUCACAUGCAACCCCAUACCCACACAUAGGAACACCCUCCCUCAUAUGCAAACCCAUGCUCGCAUGUAGAGAGACACAUAGGCACUCACAGGCCUACAAAUAAACAAACCAUAAAUAGUCUCCUUUAGGCUUACAUGUGGGCUUAAUAAAGUGGGAAAAUAAGCGUACAAAAAGAGACCUCUAAUACCAUGUUAAACAACCAAUUUUGCCUAAAAGCUUAGGUUUGUAAGAUUUAGGCCCGUAAUGCAUAUCAUGCACUCCAAAAAGAACAAAAAUAAGCAUGAGUUAGAAAAUUACCAUAAUUCCAGGUGAUGAUGCAUGUAUUAUAUCAGGCUUAAAUCGGGCAACCUCUGAGAUUAUUCUAGGGCUAAGUGCCAAAGAAAGAGGAACCUUUCGAUACCAUGGGCAAGGAAAGCUGCAAAAAAACCAAAAAAAAAUAAAAUCACAAGCCAUGAGAAGAAACCAUGUUUCAAAACCAAGAAAAUUGACCAAAAAGGGUACAAGAUCUUGCAUAACAUGUUUUAACCAUCUUGUUCAACAGAACAUGUGAACAAGAAGUUGAAAUUUUGAAAGAGUGCAAAGUAGAAAUUUUAAUAAUUAAUAUGAUGUAACAAAAUAAGAGAUACCAUGAACAAAGUAUGUUCACAUAAUAUAUAUUUGUAAAUAACUUAUUUUACAACCUUCUUGCUCCAGAUCCAGGAGCCAAAGGGGUGGGGGUGGUGGGUUCAAAACCUAGAAACCAAACAGAUUGACAUUUCAAGUGGUUCAACAAACAAUUCAGGUUUGAAAAUGCUAGGGGAAAAAAAAAAUGGGAUGGUAGAAAGUACUAAAAAAACCAUGUUGCAAAAAGAAAUCGUUCAACUUGGAAAAGUUCAAAAGACUAUUAAUGUAAACACCAUAGGAUAACACAAUAAACCAUAAAUGAUGAAAAAUGUUAUUGAACAAAUCAUCAGAAAUUAGGGUAACAAGAAGUUGAACAAAUCACUUUAAAUUUAGAUAACUGAAUUUGAAAUUUAGAUAACUGUAGCAACCUCCGUGACCCAAUCAGUUUUGCUCCAUAAAACUCCUGUGGCACCCCUUCAUGCGUUGUUACAACCAUUACCUACAACAAAGUAAUUAAAUUAGUUUGUCAAUUCAUCAUGCAAAAACAUUUGAAGAUAUUAUAGCCAAGUUGUUGUCAAUUCAUUAACUUUCAAAUUAGUGCUUGAUAUUUGGGGUGACAAUUAAAACAUUUAUUAACAAGAUCAUGGCUUCCUCCUGAAACUUUUUUAUUUUAGCCACUGUUAAAGCUAAAUUAAUAGCAGAUUAUCUACACCAUGGAGUGAGUUCAAGUUCAACCAAGCUUUGAUCAGGCCAAUUUUGUAGCUUGGUUCAUUGUCACAAGCACCAAGUUAUUAAUUUGACUUAAAAAAAAAGCUGAUAAAACGAAGUGAUGAAGAUAGUUAAGUACAUCGUGUAUCAGCUCAAGAUAGUUAAGUUACACUAGCUCGCAACGAGGUUCAGUUUAAUAUGAUGCAGAUUAAAAUUAAAAGGUUCAGCUCUUAGACAAUCAUGGUCAAUAACGUAUUGAACCACAGAUAAAGGAAAAUUUACCUCAUCCCCCAUUUCACGUAGAUAUCUUAUGAAAUUCUGGAACCGAUUCUUAUAUCCAGACACAUAUCUGCAAAAUCAACAGAAUAUGGUGCUCAGUAAAUACCCACUUGUUUCUUCUAAAUAGCAGGCUAAGUAACAAAAUAAAAGAUAGAAUCAGGAUUUCAUCUUCAAAAGGAACCUACCAUGUGUUACUGCAUGUUUAAGUUUUAAUUACUAAUACAAGUGAUGAACUGUACAAGGAUGAGAUCUAUGUUAUCCUGCUGGUAUGUUUCUUUGUCAAAACCGUAGUGUAAACAAAUCACACAAACACACCAAAAAGACAUCUAAAAUUAUUAGCAAUAGCCUGCUCACAAUUUUAACAGGAUAUUUGUCUCCAAACUCCUUAUCCGAAUCCGAACUCUUCUGAUUCUCAGGAGGCAAAUUAAGUUAUAGCUUCUAUGCCAGCACAGUUUUAAAUGUGUGAUGUGCGUAUAUGCAAUCGACUAUUUAUGUUUAAAGCAUAGAAGCCACUUAAAGUAUCCAUCUGUAGGAGUCCACGUAGACACCAGCCAAUUAAAAUUACCCACUAAAAUUGCAAUUAAAAUCGUUAAGUUAGGAUGUGAGUUAUAGGACACCACACAUGGAAAAAACAAGCAUUCAUAAAAAUGAAAGGAGAUCAAUAUCAAAAGCAGAUAAAUUAUAAAUCUACAUACUUACCAUAACAGAGCUAGAAUGUCCAUGAGACUAAAGAUACAAACCAAACAUUAGCACUCAUUAUUAUUCACCCAAAUAACCUUAAUUAUAGCCAAAUAUGAAAAUAAGUAUAUAAAUCCCAUUUAUAACCAACCAUGCUAUAACCAACAAACUCUCAACACAGCGAAAUCACUAAGCCGAUUACAUACAAAACAAUAAGCCCAAUCAAACAACACAUAAAACAAUACGCUCAAAUAAGCUGAAUCCACCAAGGUAAUGCCAAUAUUGAAGAACUCAAAAACGUUAAAUCUCCAAAUAUAUGAUGCUGGCAUGGCAAAUUAAUCUAUUAGUUAAAUGACAAAACCCGACAAAAAUAGAGCUAGGCUACACAAAACCACCAAAGUCACAUAAAGACUCACGACUCACGGCACCAGAGUUUUAGCUAACAACCCAACCUAAAUUAUGCUAGAAUUAACAACACUGUCAAAUACAAACGGUUACAACCCCUACAAUUCACCACUAACGCUUCAUAGUUAAACCUCAUCCUCUCAAAGUCAAUUUAUCAAAUAUAGUGAAGACAUAACUAGCCCAGAGAUUAAAGGCAACCAAUCCCAAAACCGGAGAGUCACUUGAAAAUGAAGAAAAAAUUGCAUCAAAUUAACAAAUACAUUACACAACAAGAAGAAAAACAAAGACAGCAUCCAAGAAAAGGGGGUUGUUGUAAUUGGAAAUAUACCAGAGCUUACGAAAGUAAAAACAAAUGAAGAAGUCAAAUAAUAGUAAUAAAGAAAGGACUCACGCAAAUGGAGAAGGCUCGACGAAGAGAGCGAUACGGCGAGGCCUGGAAGUUGCCUCCGACUCGAGCGAAGGAGGAGGACUCUCCUCCUCUUCGUCUUCUUCCCCCAUUUCUGUAAUGGUCAUGUCUCCUUUUGCAGCCAAAGUCCUCCUCCUAAGCCUUGAUGCUCCCUCAGAUGGAGAAAAGCGAGCUUGUCGGCAAACGAGGGUAAUGGGCUUUGCUGUAGAAGGAUAAAGACUGAGUAGUCUCGGAGAAACAGAGGUAUAUGAAGAAGAAGAAGUAGAAAAAGAGGAGGAGGAGAAGGAGGAGGGAGAAGAGGGAGUCGUGGUGAUGAUAGAAAAGGAGGGAGGAUUUAUAGAGAGAGAAGUGGACAUGACUGUUAAAUAGAGUUGAGAGAUUGGAGAGAAUGGAUUAGAUUAAUAGGAGUGAUAUGCGAUGGAGUGCAAGGGAUAGAAGGAAUCAAAAAUGGGAUUGAAGGGACCUAUUGGAGUGGAUAUACCCCAUUGAGUGAACAGGCUGUGGUGGAAUCCAUGGAAGCAUUUAUGGGUAUAUGCCCUCUGGUCCCGUCCUCUACCCCUUUGGAGCCUCUUCUUUUCUUGCACGCUGCCUUCUGCUUUAUCUUAUUUUUGCCUUCAGUUUCCCCUUGCCAUCGUUCCCAUCCAUCGACACACGCCCUUUCUAUGCCUUCGUUGUUUCACAGAAACGUGUUUGAUUAAAAUGAGAUUGAUACAAAUUAGCUUUUAAAAUUAAGUCAAAAUAAAUAAUUUUCUUUUAAUUUGAAAUAUCUUUUUUAAAGACAUAUAAGGUGGUGUUUGCUUUUUUACUUAAUUCUAAAUAGAACCUUAAUACUUAAUAGUAUUAAAUAUUAGGUUGUUUGUUUUUGUAGUAUUUUAUUUCUAUUAAGUAUUAAAAAGUAAAAAAAACCAUUGUGUUAUUUUUUCUAUUUAAAAAAAGCCAUAUAUUUUGGCUUUUUCUAUUUAGUAAAAAGUUUAUAAUAAGUCAUGAAAAAGUAAAAAAACAAACAACCUAAAUUCUAAAAUUAAAUGGUUUUCAGCAAAAAGCCAAAAAAACAAACACUACCUAUUCUAAGUGUUUUUUCAAGUUUCUAAUAUUUUUUAAAAUAAAAGUUUGUUCCCAAGUAUUGUUAAUUUGAUUUAAAUAUAUUUAAAAACAUUUUGGCUUUGUUUGGAAAAUAUUUUUAAAAACACAACAUUUGAAAACUAUUUUUUAAUAUUUUGUAAAAUAAAUGUUUAUUUAAGAUUCUAAAAUAUUUUUGAUUUAUUUUCUAUAUUUUAUAAAUAAAUUAUAUAUAUAGUGUUUCAUUUUAAUCAUUUUUUCAUAUUUAUAAAUUUAUUUUUAGAAAACAAGUUAAAAUAAAUGGUAAAAUGUGCUUUCUUAUUUUUUAUUCAAAAAAAUAGAAAAUUGUUUUUAAAAUAGUUAUUAAACAAGGUCGAUAAUUUUUUUAUAAGAAAAAAAAUAUUUUAUAUUUUCUAAUUAUCAAACAUAUUUUUUUAUUUUUUAUUUUGAAAAAUGGAACUAGUGAUAUUUUACUUAAAAAUAUUAUUUAAACAAUAAAAAUUAUUAUUAUUAUAUUUUUAAGAUUUUUAAAAUACUUUCAAUUUUAAUAAAAACAAAAUAUAUAUUAUUUAGUAUCAUAUUCCCUUUACUAAUGAAGAGAAAAGAGACUAAUGAUGAUAGCAUACAACACUUUUCACAUGUCUAAAAUAUUUUUGGAAAUUUUGAUGAAUAUGAGUCAUAUGACACAGAUAUUUGAGAUAUUUAGAAGUAAGGAGAACCAUAAGAUAUUCCAUUGAAUAUUCUUGUUCAUUUUUGUCUGUCAUUUACGUAUGAUUGCCAUAUUGAAAUAUACAUAAUCUCAAGUAACCAUGCUUUAUCGGUGCCUUUGUGCUUUAAGAUACCAUCACAUAUGGUUGAUCAUGACUCAUGCCAUGCAGGUUAAGCCUCCUGAGCAAAAUGGACCCAUCGGAAUUAAAGAGUUCUGAGCAAGCUUCACUUGGGCCUGGGCCAUAAAAACUCAUGGUUUGCUCUCUGGACCUGUUUCCUAGCCCAUUUUUAAGGUCCCAUUUGGACAGGAAUAUUGGGCCUAUAAGUGCAACGGGACAUCGAUUUGGGUCCAAACUAGGACUUUAUGGGCUGACGCACAUGGAAGCAACAAGUGGUAGUUAAGGCCAUAAAUAAAGGAUUGCACCUAUGUCGGGAGAAAUUGGUACAAGAAGCCAUGGGUGCACUUCUCGAUGAUGCAAUUCGACACUGCAACUGACAUGCUAGGAAUGGUCUUCGUUCAGUUUAUUUAUGAAGUCUUUUUCAGUUAAAAAUUCAAGCCCAAUCACAAAAAGAGAACAUGGAGUCGGAUAAGAAAAGGUAGGAUCCCAAAUCUGAAACAAUGUUUGCUUCAAGAGCCAGAAGUGUAGCGGUUGAUCCUGCAGCAGUAUCUAAAAACAUGGAUUGCGAUGGGAUUGCAUCAUGAUGACCAACACAUGAUCUAAUAAACUAUUUUUAUCACUACUCGAUAUGUAGUUCAUCUUUCGAGUGUUAGUGGUGAACUUUCCGGCACUAAUGAAUGCAGAAAUUCUACUACUUUUAUGUUCGAAGCUAGGGUCUUGAGCCACGGCCCUUUUUUACUUGGUUGGAUUAGGUAAAGUGCGGGUUGUAAUCAUUUUUAAUGAUAUGUCUAUAUCAAGUGUUGAAGAGAGAUGGGUCCUCGUAACCGAGUUUUGGCCCAAAAUAGUACAUUUAAAAAAAAAAAUUCAAAAGUUAAACUUGUUUCCUACAUAAUCUAGUGGAUUUGUGCCAUAUAAAUUAUUAUGUCAUAAAAUCAUAGUUAGUGACUACAGUUUUAUUUGUCUAAAAUAGUUAAAAACUUAGUCAUCGACAUCGACUACGACUUUAAAUUUAAAGUUAAAACCGUAAUAGGUAAUUAUAAUUUUUAAUUAUUUUAGAAAAAUAAAACUGUAAUCACCAAUUAUGGUUUUGUGAUAUGAUAGCUUAUGUGACUCAGACACAUUAGAUUGGAUAUUAUUUUAUAAAUAAGUUUAAUUUUUGAAUUUUUUUUUAAAUGUACUAUUUUGGGUCAAAGCUCCUCAUAAUCAGCUCUCUCUGUGUUGUUGGGUCGGUUAUAAAGUUUCCAACAUUGACUUGCAUAGAAGAAGAAGAAUCCAAAGAUGGUUUCAAAACAAGAUCAAAAUCAAAUCCCAACCGAUCUCUCUCUUACUCUGAGAGAAGUCAAAAAAACUUCCCACCACACGGAUUUUAGUUUUUUUUUUAUAAAUUUUUUUUUUUAAUCUUUGAUUGGUUUUCAACUUGAAUUACUUUUGUGAAAGGGUAAAGUAAAGGAAAAGAAGGGUUCCCUAAUAUUCACGCCAAGACCCCACUCCUAUAUUCAAACAGAUUCUAUAAAAAAUGGGGGCCAUGUCUGGAAUUGUGAUUGAAUAGAGUAGAGAAAUAGAAUCAAGAUGACCAACAAAAGGGGAAGGGUAGGGCAUGAGAGCACCUUAAAAGCAACGCUGAUUAGAAGAGUAUCAACCGAUUACCUCAUUGUUCCCUCCCCCUCUUCCUCCUUUCUUUUACCUCUAUCUUGUCAGUCAUUCCCUCUUCCUAACGGCUCCACCACGCUUUUCUUUUUGACCAUUUCCAUUUUUCUUCAUUUCUUUAGUCUUCUCCUACACCUAACCCCUCCUACUCUUCAUGCAUUUCCCACUCCAUCACAUUACUUGUCGUCCCACAUCCAUUGUCCACUCAUGGGACAUCCUAGUCCUAGACUGGUUUCAGCAUGUACGUUAAAGGUGGAGGCUGGAAAUUCAAUCAUUUUUCUGACCAUGUUGGAAAAACAACACCUACAAUAUUCAAUAUUCCAAAAGUUCAUAAAAGAAAAGAAGAAACAGAGAAUUACAAUAACAUAACAUAUGGCUUGUGCUAUUUUUUCUGUAAUUUUUCCAAUUAAACAUAAAUAUUUUUAUUUAUUUAUAUUAAAAAUAAACAAUUAUAACACAGAUUUUGAAAGCCCGGUGCACACAAAUUAACCACCCCCAAAUGCUGGAACCCUCCUGGUCGCUACACAGCUAAGCCAAGGCAACAUCCAUGUUCAUAUCAUGUCGCACAAUUGAGAACAAGAACACCCCCGAAUGCAUGCAUACAUGAAUAAACCUUGCUGAUAUCAUAAAUGAGUAGUCAAGAGACUCAGGACUGAAGAAUGCAUGCAUGAACGAAAAAAGAAGUUGGCAUGUUGGUCAGCAGUGAAUAACCUAAAUUUGUUUGAUGAAGUCUAAAAUGGAAGGACAUAUGGGCUCCAUGACAAGUAGCAUACAUGCACAUAGGGCAUGAGCAUGGCUCAUACACGUAUGUGAAUUAUGGUGGCAUGCAUAAGUAGCCAGGGGAAGAAAUAACACAAACCCAUCUUUAUCUUUCUAACAGUAACAGUAACAGUAUGAUUCUCCUUUCCCUUUUUCUCUUUUACUCAUCAUCAUCAGGAACUCCUCAAUAAAUACUUCCAGCCUCAUCCACUGCCCCCUCUUCUACGUUCACUAAACACACCCCCCCUUCUUCCAACCCUCUUUCUCCUCAUUGGACCUCUCUUAAAUUGUAAGUCCGCGAUGUCGAAAAGAGCAAGUAAGCGAGUGAGUUUCAGUCCUGAUGUCAACGAUAAGCCAACAAUGCUUCUAAAACACGGUGGUUGUAGCAGAGCUUCCGGGCACAGGAGGAGGGUUGCUGUAAUUUGGAGUUUCAGGCUUCCCAGAAGUUCAAGUUUCUCGCCGGCGAGGUUUCUGAGGCGGCUUGGGGACAGGGUGGUUAGAGCUUUGCGUUUCAUGUCCAUGAGAAGGAGGUCUUCACGUAGAGUUUCUUCGUCGAGUUUGACAAGGUCAAGAUCACUGGUAGAUCCAAUUGACUCUCACCGAGCUGAAGCCAUAGAGGACUGCAUCGAGUUUUUAAAUUCUUCCGCCUGUUUUCAGCGGUCCAAUUCAGUUUCUGGGAGUUCUUGCUAGCAAUUUGGGCCAGUCAUGGAAGAGAUGUAAAUGGGAGCAACAAGGAAUUUAUGAUUCAUUCAUCAUAAGGAGUUUAAUAAUUUCUUAAAGAUCAUUCACAGCGCAAUUCGCAUGCAUUGUUUGGUGUGGUAGAUUACCAACAGUAGCAACCUAGUUUUAUGGAUCAUGCAUCCAUCGGAAGUCCUGUCCAUCCAGGUCAACGGCAAGUUCCCUCCUCCUGUUUUCUGUUCUUUGUUUUCCAAAUGCAUUAAUUAAAAGCGCAAAAGUCAAUAAUGAUGAAUCACAAGAACUAACUGUAUGAUGGUUCAUUAACUACAGUCUACAACACUACAGCUAGUCCUACAUAUAUAUGAUAUCCCUGCGAUCCAUCAUACACGUAAUUGAGAUAGACCCUUCUAAAGUGUGGGCCAGCCUCAGAGUGUGAAGCCUAUGUCAAUGUGUCACUGCCACGCCAUUGUAGCAUGCAGGAUCCGAUAGGUAUCAGCUUUAUUUAUAUGCUUGACUCAAUCCCACCAGUGUGUGAAAAUCAAGAGGACACCACCAUCUUAACGCAGCCAUGAAUGCUCAUUCUUGUAAAUACCAUAAUUGCUUCCCCUGGCGCUUCAGUUGACUGAAAGAAUAACCUUUUUCCUUUUCUUUUGGUAUCGAAUGCUGUAAAGUGUAAACCCAUCUACUAUAAUGGAAUCACUGCAAGAGGAAAAAACAGCACAAGUGGGGUACGGGGAAAACGUAGCAAUAAGGCCACAUGUAAAGUUAUAUUGCUAGUUUAUGAAAGAGAGUGGGAACCAUGUCACUCCCCAUUGGAAUUUAGUAUAUCACAUUACUCGAGAAACAAAAACACCCAUCAAGCCAAAGAUCAUCUGAGACAGUUGAGAAUCCGUGACCCAAUAGCUGCCAACAAUUCAUUAAAUAAAAGUCUUGAAUGAAUUGUUCUGUGUCAAUUGCAAUCAUUAUCUAUCAUUUCAACUCAGUUACCAACUUCACCACAUUCCAAUACUUUUAUGAAUGGAUGACUAUGUGGAAGUAAUAAAUAUAAAAUCAAGAAUCCAGGGAGAGCCUUUCUAGCUCUCGAAUUCCAUGACUGGAAGCUUUCUUUAGUUCUAGAGCUCUCUUAUAAGGAGGAGCAAUUGGGGGCUGUACAGGAUCCAAGCUCUGGUAAGUUCCUUCAGCAACUUUGGGAAGAGGAUAUGACUGGUCUGAGUCAUACCCACUGAGGUCUCCACAAGCCAAAAAUGGAAUGUACACCUUAUUUGGCCCUUCCAACCACCCGCUUCUGCAAUCUGUCAUGCAACAAAUAUUAGGAGGGAAAAACAUCACUAUCAUCUAUUAAGCAAGAAUCUCCUAAGAACAGGCCCAAUCAAAGAUGUAAAACUUGGCCUGGACUAAGAAGUACUUGUUUUGCUUGAACAAACAUUGACAUGAACCACUUCCUAACUAAUGUCUGAUAUGUUCAUCCAUAAACAAUAUAAAAAUAUUGAGACCAAGAACUUUGAUGUGAUGGAAACUAUGGGAGAUUUGAGAUGAGAUUGUCCUGAAAAGGGAGAACCAGAGACAGAAGGUUUUUAGAUCUCUUUUCACAUUUUGUUUGGUUGUAAGUUGUACAAGAUUAGAGAUUUGAUCAUUAGUUAAGACACACAAACAAGGAUGACAAACCAGCCUAUCAGAGUCUAUGUCAAAAAAAAAGAUUUGCUUUGAACAUCAAUGCAAUUCACAACUUUCUAAUAAAAAAUUAUAUGCAAGAACCUAAAUUCAUAAUAUGAGGAAAAUACUAAACUUACCUAGAUCAUCUGCUCCUGAUGGACUUCCCACCUUUUCUAGAAGGCGAUGCAAAUCUUUCUCAUUAAAUCCUUCAGGAGGAGAAUAAUUUUCACAAACUGCAAAUGCCUCUACAUCAUAAAAAAAAUACAAGAAUUAGCUUUGACCAGGGUCACAGGGCAGGCAAAUUGUCAGUCAAUUGUCAAUAAAAUCAGACUAUGUCUUCUCUGAGAGAUCCCAAAUAGGCACUUUCACCAGAGUUGUAUAGCAGGAAAUUAUAAAGCACCAUUCUUCUGUGUGCACAUACGACAAGACUCCUUGCAAUGGAUCCUGUAUUACAUAACAGAUCCUUCUUAUGCAAUGAAUGCCUUUAUGAUAACAAGAAUACCACUUUUGUGAGAGAUCCAGAUUUCCUUAAGAAUUUUGUUUUUUACUUUCAUUUUAAUUUUAAUUGAUUUUAUUCAUUUAUUUAUUCUGUUUGCAGUAACUCAAUUUUGAAGGAGCCAUUGGCUCUCGUGGAAUCUCCAGAAGUCUCCCAAUAUAUUCUUUAAUUCUUUGUUUUUUUAUAGGCUAUGUGCUUUAAUUCUUUGUUGACUUGGAAGUUGAACUCAUAAGUAGAGAUGGCUAAUCAGGGGACAUGGGAGACUUCGAAAAUACAAUUAUAAAUAACAUGAGAAGAACUAAUAAGCAAUUCAGCUACUAAAAGAAAGGAGCUCACUCUUACCUAUGCUGGAAUUACGGCUGCUUUUCGGUUUUGCAAAAGUUACUAUAGGGAAGAAUAAUUUCAGCUGCAAUUGGUGAGCAAAAGUCAGGGAAAUUGCAUAAGUAUUUUCCGGAUUGCAGUUCUCAUUAAGAACUAGUAUUCAUGAAUAGAUAAACCUUAAAGCUAAAACAUAAGUAACUUUAGUUGCUCACGCCCCAUGAAGCAAUUAUUAUCAAAACCAUAGGGUUUCUGAAUUUAGUGUGUCAAAAAUGUAACAAUAACAUGAGACAAACAGGAUUUGUGAAAGGAUGAUCAGCUGCUAUAUUUGGAAAAACAUUAAUUAGGCACCACUACAGACACUAUGAUUAUGGAAGUGGGAAGAAAUAAAAAAACUCAGGGGAAAUAUAAAUAUAGUUCCCAACUCUCAUGUAAUAAUGCAAAAGAUAAAUAUCAUCCUGAUAAUCAAGCUGACUGGUUACCAAAGAUGUGCCCUUGAUGGCUGCCGGAACUGCUAGACAAGUUUAAAGUUCUUUUUUAUCAACUCAGAAAUUCAUAAAUAAUUUAUCCAUUAAGGAAUUUUGUUAGACCUAGAAUCAAUGCCCAAACAGAAGGCUAAACUGAAACAAGGGACAAAUAAGAAUGUGAAUGUAUUCCAAAUAAAAUGUUGCACAUGAAUGUCAAGCGAGGUUUUCAUAUUAAAACCACUUGACAAAUCAAAUGAGAUUAAUUAAUUCCAAAAAUUGGGAAUUGAGCAAGUAUUUCAUUACCUGGCAAUAAAGGAGACUAGUAUCUUUUCCCCGAAAUAUCUUUGCAAUAAAUUUUCCACCUUUUUUAAGCACAUGAGUAACAAUUGUUAAACCCUACAAAAUAAGUUGGUCCAAUAAUAUCAGUGUAAUACAAACAUAAACAACAUUCACAAACAAAUCGGUUACCAGGCAACAUUUAUACAUUGCUCUCAAAACAAAAGUAAGAAGGUGAUCAAUGGACUCCAUAAACUGUAUGCAAUAAUCAUCUUAAAAAACAAAGAACACACUUGAUUUACGAUUCAGAUUUUUAUAGAAACAAAAAAAGUAAGAAAUGAUAGUUUAGAUGAAAGAAUUACCUACAAGGAAUUAAGGGCAAAAAUGAAAGUGCUUUGAAUUACUGUUGCAAAAUCUUCUGACCAGACCAGUUACUAAGGCAUCUCACAAUUCAAAGAUCAGUCAGGUCAAUAGAGGAAUAUAUUCCAUUUUGAGAUUUUGGGAAGAGGGGUUGUUGUUGAGAGAUUUAUUUCUGGUCUUUCCUUGUUUCCACAUGACCAAUUUAUGGGAGCCAAGGGAAAGGUUACACUAUUGCUUUUGCCCUAAGACAUAAACUAAAGCUACAAAGAUCUCUUUUCUUAACUGCUAUCUAUGUUCGUACAUAAAUAAUUCAUAUUGCCUGGAAAACAACACAAAUAUGCGACCAAGUAAUCACUAUUUUAUGAAAUGGAAGGAUACAUACUGUAGGUGCUAUAGAAUAGACAGUCCAUGUAUGGCUACCAAAGGAUGCCUUUGUUUUUUGUCUUGAAUCUAAAUAAAUCUUUAAUUAAAGUGUAACUAGUACUUAAUAGUGUUAAGUAUUAAGUUGUUUGUUUGUUUUUUUAAUUUUUUUUAAGGUCUUAAAACAAGUUGCUUGAAGACUUAAUCAUUUUUAAAAUGGUUUGUUUUUUAACUUAUUACUUUUUUUUAACACAAUUUUGUCUUAAUGGAAAAGUAAUUUUUUUUUACUUUUACCAUAAAUCUUAGAGCAACUUGCUUAAGACUUAAAAAACAAACAACCCCAAAGUGUCCAGCAAAAUAUAUAUGCCUUUAAGAAUAAAACAAACCACAACAUGACACACUGCCUAGACCUCAUAAACUAGAUCUUAGAUAUUGUGAUUUUCACGUUUUCUCUUUUAAUAUUAAUUUAGGAUUCUUAGGUGAGCAUGACUGAAUAGUGAAGCAUGGCACUGCAUCUGUAUCCAUCCAAGGUAAUUGCCAUCCAAACUCAUUAUAGUGACUUGCCCUUAUAAGAAACAUUGAUUAGUUUACAAGGAACCUAAACAGCUCACCGCAAGAAUAAGUUGGGACUGGACAAAUUCAUCCAUAUCAUGAAGCCCGGUAACUGCAAAUCAUCACAGAAACUGAUCAACUUAAGAAAAACAAACCACUGCUGGUAGAAACAGAAGCAUAAACCAUGAAGUUGAAAACAAUAUAUGUUGCCUAACCAUCAGGAGCACCAUCACACACAACCAGGUCAGCCUUGCAUCCAUCAAAAUGCCUAAUGACCUGAAGAACAGAAGAUGAUAAAUAAGGAUAAUGUCAGAUAUAUCAUUUUUACACAGCCAAAAACUGAGAGCAAAAAUGAUUUAAAAUAGCACACAAAUACAAUGUGUCAGCCUGGGAAGUGGCAUGUCUAUGACUCUAUAAUUAUGUGUGCUUGUGCACAAGGAUGCAUGUUAAUAUGUAAGAAUGUAUGGAAGUGCGUGUACAUAUUGAGGCCUCAACUUUCUCAUGAAAAUAAAGACACAAGCAUAACAUGAAAGUCAACAUUGACAACCACUGAUUCAAGAUAUUUGGCCAACAUCAACCCGUAAAAGUGGUAUUGAAGUUGAAUAUUUUGGCAUGUGGUUGUGAUCAAUUAACCGGACUAAUGGUACCAGUGGUAUAGGCUCAAGUCCCAAACUGGCACCCAAGAAAAACCAAAAGAACAUAAAAGCUGUGGGAAGGCACUGAUGCUCAGAACCCUUGCCCAGCUAAUUGAGGUUAGCAACAUGAAAAUAUUGUUCCCUUUUUUUAUUUUUUUUGUUGUCAUUCUACUCUAUCUAUGACUGUAUAUUCUGCUAACCAGCACCCAUGUCUCUUUCAAAAGCAUAGCCCAUGUACCUUGUGGAAUUUCCAUAGUUGUACUGGUGAACCAUAUCACUCGUUCUAAAAGGUGGUGUUGUAUGUCUACCUUGCAGGAAAAGGACUGUCAUGACUCAAAUGGCCAUAAAACUAAUCCAUUCAAAAUUAAAUUCACUCAUCUGGAAACCAAUAACCUUGCAUUUCAUCAUUGAUAUCUACCUACUCUACACCCCACCAACCCCCCCUCCCCUCUCCCCCCCAACAUAAAUUUCUCUUGGGAAAAUCUUCAAGGGAAACAGAAAGAGCAAUGCUUUUUUUUUUAUAGGUAAAUAAGAGAAUAUAUUAAAAGCACAAAAGGCGCAUCAAAGGGCCCAAAGGCUUACAAGAAGAGAAAGAGAAAAGUGAGGAACAAGCCCACCCUAACAACCCAGAAAACCAAAACUAUGUGCAGCUGCCUCACCAGCCCCCGCUGCCUGCCCUCAACACCCCAAAACAACCCUUUCUAGAUGUGAAAAGCCAACAGCGCCAACAUCUAAAACCCAGCAAAAACCUCACGCAACAAGGUCUGUGACCUCGCUACUCCUCCCCCUACCCCUAACUAACAGAAGGGAGUUUUAGUAAUCAACCGAACACUCCAAUUUUCGGAUCUCCCUCUCGAAACAGGAAGUCAAGUUUGGCUUCCUUUCCCCCCUUCAGACACAGACACAAUGCCCCUUCCUAGUCUCCAUCUUCCUCAAGAGGGUAAAAAUCUCCUUUUCAUAUCCCUCAACUGGCAUCCUCAAAAGAGCAAUGUCUAUGCACACUUAAGAGAAAGAGAAACUGUUUUCUAAUUCUAUUCUAUGAAGACACUGAGAUAAUGAUAUUAAAUCAGUUACAUAAUUUUAAAGAAGCGCCAUUUAUAUCUUUACACUGUCAAACAAAUAAUGGAUAACAAUGACUUGGGGGGAGAAAUUGACUAACCAGUUCAGCUGUACGAGCAUUUGUUAUAUCACCCUGGACUUGAAUCACCCCUUCAAUUGGAGCCAUGGGCUGCAAAUCAAUCGCCACAAUAAGAGGAAGAUCACCAUCCCUGAAAAUUUUGAUUAAGUAAAAAGUUAUUAGCUUGACAAUAAGGUCCUACACAAAAAGAGGGUGACAUAAUAGUAACAAUUAGAAGCCCUUGAGGCCCGGCUCAAGUGGUAAAGGGAUGAGGAGGGUUUGUGGGAGGUUCCAGGUUCAAGUCCCAAUAGAGACAAAAAAUUUACCUAUCAAAAAAUAAUAGUAACAAUUAGAAAUUUAGCUUUUUUUAAUAAUAAGAAAUAUGUAAACCGUGCACACAGGCCUAAAAACUGUAGGGUGAAUCAGUAAAGUUGAAGAAAAUAAAGGGAAUUACAAAGUCGAAUCUUAUAAACAACAUAAUUGGAAUAGCAUCUCUCAUAUUUCCAUUUGGAGUACACAAGUUGUGGGGCACAAAUGUCAAGUACCCAAAUACAAAGUGAUGGAAGAUCAAAGCCUUUAUAGCAUGCAUAUAUAAGCACGUGUAUAUAUGCAUAAAUAUGGGAGUAAGGAGAUAUAGAAUAUUUAACAUUGGAGACAGCAAAUAGAAGGGAUGGUACUUUCCUCUCACAUCAAAAUGUGAAAGAAAUAUAACAAUUAUAAUAGCUCCUAUUUCAUUAACUUUUUUCAAUUGAACCAUUUAUACAAAUUCAAAACCCAAAUAAACAGAAUUUACCUUGAGGCAGGUGAAAGCUUUGCUGGGAGAAACAACUUACGACUCAAAACCUACAGAAACAAUGUGAAGGAUCAGAGACAGUUAAGGAUAAUCUGUAAAUCACAACCCAAACAACAUUGGCACAAGGAAAUUAUAUUUUUCACUUCAAGCAUUGGUGCAUGAUUUAUCAAAUGCCCUUCCUUCAACAUGAUACAAUAUCAGGGGAAAUCUUUUCAAAUUCAAAUGACAUGAUGAAGAUUGUUAACAGAAAGAAUAUCCAGAAUCUCUAUUCUAAUGAGAUUGGAGUUGGCUCACAGCACACCUCCCACAUUUUUAGUCCAAGACCACAGGAAGUGAAGGGAAGAUGGUAAAAAAGGUACCUAAAAAACAAAUAACCUACAUUUGGUAAAGGAUAUCAUUUUCUCCUUCCAUUUCAAAGCAAAAUGAACACUAUUACCAUAUUUGCUUCAAAAGUUCCAUUCCCACCUUAAUCUGUAUCAGUUUUAAGUGCAAAAUGUUUUUAAGAAAAGCAUUUUCCAAACAAUACCCUGUGGAGGUUUAAUUAUUCAGAUCCAUAAUCAGUGUGAAUGCUGAAAUUUAACUGCUCAAAUGCAUGUGUUUUAAGAGAACUCAGGCCUAGAGAGUUGGGUGUAACAAUGAAAGAAUAUCAUACAAAGGAACGAGUUUCAUCAACAUAACACACAAUCUUUAUAACUGCUUCCCUAUUGAUUCUGUUGGAAAUAACAGUUUACAAGGCAUUUCACAAUUGCAGAUACCUGACUCCAGCUACCAGGGGCUGCACAUAGAUCUACCACACGCUUGACCCCUGAAAAUCAAAUUGGUAUCAAACAGCUAAAGGUGAAAAAAUAAUCUCAAAUCAUAGAUAAAUAGAAAAACGCAUCCAAAAAAGACUCAAAAAUGUUUGACCAGAGUUCAUCCUAUGCAAAACCAUAGCAAAACAGUCUAUUGGGCCGUAGAAUUAGUAGCUUCUAGAGUAUUGAAAUAACAAAACAAAUAAUCCACACGCCUAGCACUAUUUCAUUUAUGCAAUCACCACUCCCUGCGGAUAUUGUGAUUUUUCCCUAAUUAACAAAAAACAAAACAUUUGUGAUAUAAGAAAAGGACAGCAUCUAUCAUUUGAUUGUAUUCUUAAACCUUUUGCAUUUCCAAAUUUUGUUCAUCAGCCACUUAGAGAUUGACAUCCUCAUGCAAUAUAAAUAAAAACAUAAAAAAAUAAAUAUAGAAAAAGUUAACAAUCCAUGACUAAAGCAUUUUGAAAAAGAAGUCUUGGACCAUCAGUAAAACCACAGACCCAAUUUAACUGGAACCAGCAAGCUGGUUAUUCAUAAACUAUAUACCAUGAGUUCUUUCAGGAUUUUCAGUUCCCACUCUUCUUUAUCAUCUCCCACAUGACUCCACUCUCAUCUUUGUCUCUUUUCUUCUUGUUCUCCUCAUUGAAAAUUGCAUCUUAACACAUAACAUUAACUAGCUAUUGAGUUACACACUUGAAUUUUUUAUUUUUAUUUUUAUUUUUUCAGUUAAUUGACCUAAUAUUUCAUUUUCUCUAAUUAUUAUAAAUAAUGAUUACCAUAUUGAUGAUGAUGAUGUGAUGAAAAAUCAGCAGUAGAAAAUAGUGACCUUUAAUCUAGUCCCUUUCAUGGGUUAAUAAGCAGUCCAGCUUCUAAAACAUUGGCAAAAAAAAAAAAAAUCGACUUUAGGAACCAAAUUAAAAAGGUAAAAUAAACACACACAACAAAGGACCAAAAUAGGUUGUACCUUCAAAUAUGUUGAAUUCCUCAUCAAUCUGAAGGAGUUUGAAGGCACUUCGAGCACGCCAACCUUCUUCCUUUGCUUUACGAUAGUAGAUAUCCUGCAAACUAAUCAACCUUUACUAAAAACUGAAAAAUGAAAACACACCGGAAAUUGAACAGAAGAAAUUAGAAUGAGAAAUUAAACCCACCCUCUUAUCCCUUGAAGCUUUGCCCAUGCUUUAAAUACCUCGCAGUUCUGUAGGUAGUGAAACAGGAAGUAUUUACUCUUGCUAAUCCUUGUAUUCAUAGAAAGUUAUAGUUUAGUCAUAACAUAUGCUUUGGAAAACAAAAGAAAUAGAAAUAAAAUGCUAUUACCACAAUAUUAACAAGGAAUACUAUCACUGACAAUGAGCUUGGAGCAGCAUGUUUUUUGCUUGAUGAGGUAUGGCCAAAGUCCAAAGAAAACAGUUCUAAGUUAAUGACAAAAACAACCGUAUAAAAAUGAAGGUUUAAAAGUAAUCUCUCUCCAUUUUAAUGUAUAGGCAUGGAAAGGGCUCAGGCAUUCAGCAUGGCAGAUUGACUCCCUUAAUUUGAAAACUAAUAUAUCCACUGCAUUGGAGAAUAAAUCAAGAAAUUGAUAUAGCAUUAAAAGAACCUAACUUUCUAUGGCCAAUUUUCUGCACAUCUCCAAAUUCUCUUAUAAAUCUUAUUGAUAUGAUUAUUCCUCACUGUUCUGCACUACCAAAAGAUUUUUUCUUUUUCUCUUUUUUCUCUUUUUAAGUCCACAGUUACAGUAAAAUUUCAUUGGCAUUGGAAUUAGCAUUAGUGCAUGUCUCCGUUCCAAUGAACAAGUCCUAUGAUGGCAUAACAGAAAAAUCUCUUACUCUUAUCGGUCACUCUUUUGAACAUCUUAUAUGCAUUUUAAAUACAGAAGAAUGGUAACAAAAAAAAAAACGAUUAUUCAUCUUAGAAAUUAUAGACGAAGUAGAGAGAUGUAAUAUCAUGCCAUGAGAUUCACCAGAGCAUAGGCAGUGAAUAGAGAGGUUACUGUAGCAUAAAACAAAUGAAAAAAAGGAAGGAAUCAGGAUUUAUUUUCAUCAAGUGGGAAACUUUACCAACCUUUGGUACAAUACAAAUCAGAAGUGCAGGGAGAGGAGGAUGAGUGCUGAAUUUCCUGGGAAUGGGCUCCUGUGUACCUCCCCUCGUGUGAUGGGAGUAAUAGCUCGCAGCACGUUUGUUACUAGUGCUUCUAUCAAAAAAGCUUUUGUAAAAACACAGUUAGUGUUUGAAUAUAGACCCAAAAAAAAAUGCUUUUGAUAGUGUUUUUAGCAAUGUGUUAUGAGCACACACAUAUGCACAGACUUGCAUCCAUAUUAUUAAAAACAGUAAAGACAAUAAUUAUUUAUUAUGACACGAAAUUUUGAAAAAUACUAUCUAUUUACAUAUUAGCUUAAAUUGUCUAAUAAAAAAUUUACACUCGCCAGCAUUAUUUCCAAUAGGCUCAUUAAUACAUGUAUUUCCAUCCAAUACCACCAAACUAUAGAAAUCAUGCUCAUAGUCAGUCUCAUCUUCAGAAUUGCAAUUUUCACUAUCAUUGCUAUUAGAAGACAUAUUGACAAAACCAACAAAUAAAAUAAUGCAUGAUAAUGAGUGAUUACUAGACAUUUUCUGGACCCCUCAAAAAGCAAGAAUGAAUAAAUAAUCAGAUCCUCUGUCAAAAAAAAGAAGCAAAACCAUUAAGUUUGAAAAUCAGCAAAUAUGGAAAGCACUGAUGAGUAAGGAAUAUAAAUGGCACUUAUGAACAUUUCUAAGAACUAAGAAUAUCUGAACCAAAGUUGGAACCAAAAUACAGUGCACAACCACCUGAAAAAAAUGCUAAAAACACCAACAUACCAAACUGUCAAUGUACCAAAGUGCUGAAGUACACUUUCAGUGGGCAUGUUCAGUGAUUCCCAGCAUGGGUCAAUUGUGAAAUCCACUAGUGCUUUUUAAUGUAUGCAAAAAUGCGUCAAAUAAGUUCAGCAAAUUGUCCAAGUCAGAGCACCCAAUUUGCAACAGCAAAAGGUUUCAAGCUGGGUGCCUUCAUACAUUGCAUAUUUGAUAAAAAUAAUGCUGCAAAAUUGCAAGCCAAAAUGCAGUCAACAAUGGGACAAAAACUCUGCCACAAAAUGCAGCUAUACUACAUAGCAAAAUAGAAUUUUGAAGCUUCAAGAGAAUCUUAUCACACUUGGGACAGCAGGUACUAUGACCAAAAUUGAUGCAAUUCUAUUCCUAUUUGUGCAAUCCUCAAUUUCAGACUCAUUCCCUCAACCAAGCUGUGCAUAUAUGCAACAACUGGCUCUUAGAGGCAACUUCUCAAACAGGUAAUAUGCCCAUUUUUUGUAUAGCAAUCCUACACUUCAAGGUGCCGCCAUUUCCACCCAUAAGUACAAGCAAGCUCUCACAAUAUUAAAACCUUGUCAGAGGGCUUACCAACUAGUACCCAUUACCUCAACCAAGUCAUGCAUAUAGGCAACAACUGGCUCUUAGAGGCAACUUCUCAAACAGGCACUGUGCCCAUUUUUGGAUCAGGGUCCCAUCAUUCCCACCCA